UUAAAUGUAUGUAAACUAUGUCCGGGUCCAUCAUCCGACCCAUCGUUGGUUAGGUUAUCAAAAAACCUUUCCAACGAGUCCAAAACAUUGAAGAUCUGGCAACCCUGUCUCGAGAUAUGGCCACUUAAGUGAUAUCGAUGUACUUUUUGGAAACCGGAUCUAAAAAAUAGAUGAAACAUUAGGGUGUAAUAUGGUUAUAUGGAAAAAAUUAAAGUUGUCCAAAUUUAGUGAGCACAGCACUUUUUCAGUUCCUAUUGGGGUCCUCAACAACUCCCCAAAGUUUGGGACCAAUUGGUUUAGUCGUCACUUUGCGCAAAGCAAUUCAAUUUUCCAUAUAAAUUUGUAUGGAGAAAACCAUUUUUUUGGAUUUUGAUAUUUAUUGAAUCCACGUUUCAUGCUAUAUCAAAACCGGACUCAUAUUCGGAUGCUCUGGAAUCUGCUCUACAACUUUCCAGAAGAGAGUAUGGUGCUAGCUUGCCCCUAAAAAAAGAUACAGCGUGUUCAAAACUCGUCUAAAACGUGUUUUUUGCUCGAAAAUCACGUUUUAGACGAGUUUUGAGGGCUCUAUAUCUUCUUUCAGGAGCAAGUUAGCACCAUACUCUCUUCGGCAAAGUUGUAGAGCACCUUCCAGAGCAUCCGAAUAUGAGUCCGGUUUUGAUAUGGCAUGAAACGUCGAAUUGUUAAAUAUCAAAAUCCUAAAAAAUGGGUUUCCCCAUACAAAUUUAUAUGGAAAAUUGAAUCGCUUUGCGCAAAGUGAGGACUAAACAAAUUGGUCCCAAACUUUGGGGAGUUGUUGAGGACCCCAAAAGGAACUGAAAAAGUGCUGUGCUGGAAAAUCGAUUUUGAUAUUACACCCUAAUGAAACAUGUGUACAGCCAUUGUUGUGAGGAAGGCUCCAACCACAUAGGUGGAUUUAGUUAGUUUUUUUAAUAAUCUUAGAUUCUAUGCUUCUAGCAUUCAAAAAUCGUUGAUUUUUUUGUUAUUGAUUUGUUCAAUCCCAAUUCUAUUUAUUAAUAGGUAUUUCCUAAAACUAAUUUCCUUAUUUAUAAAAUUAAAAAUUUCAAAAAAAUUUCAAAUGUCAAAUAAAAGUUUUUUUAAAAUCUGAUAUUCAAAAAUACUAAGGUUCAUAAAUUUUGAAAAUGUUUAGGCCUAUAACUUAUUGCAUGUUUUUUUUUCUUUUUAAUAUGCCGUCAGUGGGGGUGACAAUUGGUCUGGGGGUGAGAUUGGGUCAAUGUGAUUUUUUACGGAUUUUACAAUUUCUAAGGUUCUUCUCAAUGAAACUAAUUUCUGUUAAAAGGGUUGUAAGAUGGCUUAGGUGAAAAAAUCUCGUUCCUAGAACAAAUCCUGUAAUUUUAGCAACUGUCGAAAGUUGAGAUACGUUUUUGGCCAAAAAUGACCUCUCGAAAAAUCAACUUUUUAUUAUGAAUUUUUGAUGGAAUUGCUCGAAAAAUACCCAAAUGUUUGAAUGUCUCUAUUUCAAAUAUUGUAGCAUGUCAAUAAGAUUCCCUCAAACAAGAAACACUGUUGGAUGAAAUAUCAAGCAAAACAUUGUGAUAGGGCCGAAACCGAAAUGUAAACAAAGACUCUAUCCUGCUCACGUCAUUUGAUGUUUACAUUAGGAACGAGCAGGAUUAGACUCUUUGUCUACACUUCGGCUUCGGCCCUAUUACAAUGUUUUGCUUGAUAUGUUCCCCAUAUCUUUGUAUUUAAGCAUCAUUUUAGUUUCAUUUGACCCCAAGGCCUAAAUACCAAAAAAUAUAUUUUUAAAGCAGUAAAUUAAAUUUAAAUAUUUUUAAAACAUCAGAACAGUCAUUUUAAAUAAAUCAAACCAUAAAUAAUAUUCUAAAAAUGUUAGAUUUCUUUUAACCCUCUACUGCACAAAUUUUUUUUUCGGACAUUUUUAAUUUUCCCGUGUUUAGGAGGUCAUUUUGAGCACCUUUUGUUCUACGAUGCCCUGUUUGAAAAAUGUCGCACGUCGUGCGAGCUGUCGCGCGGUUUUGAUUUUACCGUUUCGAUAUCGAUUGGUCGAAAGGACGACAAACGGACGACAAACACUCGACAUGCCCGACAUUGUUUUUUCCAUCGAUUUUCCUUCAAUUUGACGUCACGAUUUUCGUCGACGCAGUUUGACAGUUCUCUUCAGUUGGUCUUGUUUGGACUUGAUCAAAUCAGAGAAACUUUGAACCGAGUCGAACCAGUUUACGUUGUUGAAAAGUUCGUGUGGAUUUUUGCCGGUUGAUUGAUUUCCUGAUUUCGGCCUUCGUGGUGGAGGAGGAGGAGAACGGGUCACAUCGUUGCUCCGGCGGGCCAUGCCAAAAGACGGAAAGGGAAGCACCCGGUCUGUGAUCGAGGAAGCGGAUUGGUGUUUAACUUUCCGCGGGAGGUGGCGGUGCAUGGUUUUUAUACGGUUACCAAAAAUAUUCCAAUCGAAUCCUGCUGACAACCCAGCGUUUCCGUAUUGUCCCACGGAACGGAAGCUGUAACGAUCGCAAAAACACCUGCACUGGAAGUGCGUAAACCAACGUUGUCCCGUAGGCCAUCAAUCUGUGAGAAUUAAAUGGAAGCGCCGCUCCAGUGCCGUAUCUACACGCUGGUGUCGACUCCAAAAGAUGGCUGACAAAGUCCGGCCAAGAUGCCGAAGCAACGAGAUGAGCUGAAAGGCCAACCGGAAGACAACGCCAAAAACCACGUGAAGAUCGCGACACACAACAAGAAAAAUUAAUGGAUGUUUGUGAAAUCGAGAGAAAAAGAUUAAUUAACAGAAAAAAUAUAUCUAAAAAUAAUUUAAAAUAUUUUUUCUUUUAUUUUUACUGCAACAUAACCUAAAAAACCGCACACGACUAAGGCACGACAACCUAAAUAACAAAACCGUGCGACGUCGGUCGAAUGUCGUACGACAAUGUCGAACAAUUUCGAUGAUCGAUCGCACGACAAAUACGACAUUUUGGUGCAAAAACGUAUGACAUUCGUGCGAAAGUCGCACGACAUUGUCGUGCGACGUCGUACGGUUGCACGGACGACAAACGACGGACGUCCGACGGACUUUUCAGUCAGGCUCGAGCCAUGUCUUGCUCUUAUUUAUAUGGUUACCAUCCUUCUGGGUCAACACUCGAAAUUACUGUGUUUACUUCUCUUGUUUUAUGUUUUUCUUGUUUCUUUUUUAGUAUUUUAACUUGCAUUUAUCUUGUUUAGUUUAUGUUUGUUUCUUAUAGUAUUUGGCGUACUCUACCACCUCCUAUCAUUGAAUUUUGCCUAGAUCUAAUUGGUCAUGUUUUUACAAUCACUUUUUAAAUUUGUUGCUUAUUUUCACAUUUUCUGCUAUAAAAUGGCAUCAUUAUCAUUAAAAUUGUAAAAAAAAAAUCGUAGAGGCAUGGUUUGGGGCACUAGAAAAAUUACUGCAAACUUCUUGCUACUUAAAAUAUAAGACAUGUUAGUAAAAAAAUACAGCCAAAGUUGACCCCUAAAAAAAUACAUUUUUAAAAACAUUGGCAAAGUCACAUUAAACAAGUAAAACUUCCAACCCAUAAUUUUUUUAAAAUCUUAAGAGUUCUUCUUUCCAAUGCUUUUUAAAGAUCAACAAUAUGUUGAUAAAUGGAUUUUUUGCAAUUCCGUCGUGAAACUAUUUACUUUUCCUGUCAUUCUUGAACGACGAAAUAUCCUACUUUUCUGUACCAAAAAUAACAGAAUCGAAUAGCAACACUUUUCAAAAUAAAUGCACUCAAAUGGGUGCUGAAAAGUUGAACUUUUCAGCACUUGUUUCGAAAAGUAAUACUUUUCAACAUUUUUUUUUGAUUUCAACGAUUUAUUGACAAAAUGCAUGAAAAUUUGACAUAAAAUUUCACUCAGUGUGUGUUUUUUGGAAUUGCAAAAAAUGUUGUAUGGAACUCGUUGCAAAACUUGUUUUUUUCAGCACUCUUCGUAUUUAUCCAACUCGGUGAACCUCGUUGGAUAAAUGUACGACUCGUGCUGAAAAAAUCCUCUUUUUGCAACUUGUUGCAUAAACUACUAUUUGGCGAUUCUUUAAAUCGAAACCCGUCUAAAGGCGGGGUUGGGUUGUAGAGGGUUAAACACAGAAAUCUGUUGAAAAAUGAAAUUUGAAGAAUUUUAAGAUUCAAGCCUGUCUUAAGAAGAUGGUGGGCUAUAAUGGUUUUGCUCUGUGGAAAAUAUCCCAGUUUAAACAUUUCCCUCCCU
Molecule: long non-coding RNA, 4191 nt
Organism: Culex pipiens pallens (northern house mosquito)
Lineage: Eukaryota; Metazoa; Arthropoda; Insecta; Diptera; Culicidae
Exons: 3
Source: RefSeq, a predicted model, not a curated record